Molecule: non-coding RNA, 22 nt
Filed under: Arabidopsis thaliana (thale cress)
Lineage: Eukaryota; Viridiplantae; Streptophyta; Magnoliopsida; Brassicales; Brassicaceae
Source: RNAcentral
CACUUGUGUUUGAACCACUUGA